AGGCAUAGCUAGGCUAGGUCUUGGAGGCUGGUGUGAGGCGGUGCGGGUAAGGCAGGAGGAGGCUGAUGGAAGACACUGGCGGAAGAAAAGCCGAAAUGGAUUCUCCGUGCCUUGGAUGGAGGAAGAGGGGGGAAGUGCGAGCUCCUUCAAGUCAUUCCGUCCGGUGAGGAGUGAUCCAGCUUGGGCUGACAAGAGGCUCCGGGAGCCCUCACGUUCAGUGCUUUUUUACCUGCCAAUCAAACUGCUACAAGACAACACCCUGUUCUGGCAUGGACGC
Long non-coding RNA from Neotoma lepida (desert woodrat), 277 nucleotides. It matches the Rfam family "SOX2 overlapping transcript exon 3". From Rfam's summary of the family: SOX2 overlapping transcript (SOX2OT) is a long non-coding RNA, containing at least 5 exons. The SOX2 gene, an important regulator of neurogenesis, lies within one of the introns of SOX2OT. NCBI's taxonomy places the organism in Eukaryota, Metazoa, Chordata, Mammalia, Rodentia, Cricetidae. The record is from Rfam.